This 465-nucleotide ribosomal RNA is filed under the name Vreelandella stevensii. Its description in RNAcentral is "partial 16S ribosomal RNA". It matches the Rfam family "Bacterial small subunit ribosomal RNA", at positions 338 to 795 of the family's 1533-position model. Lineage: Bacteria; Pseudomonadati; Pseudomonadota; Gammaproteobacteria; Oceanospirillales; Halomonadaceae. The record is from RNAcentral.
CCUACGGGUGGCAGCAGUGGGGAAUAUUGGACAAUGGGCGAAAGCCUGAUCCAGCCAUGCCGCGUGUGUGAAGCAGGCCUUCGGGUUGUAAAGCACUUUCAGUGGGGAAGAAAGCCUUGGGGCUAAUACCCUCGAGGAAGGACAUCACCCACAGAAGAAGCACCGGCUAACUCCGUGCCAGCAGCCGCGGUAAUACGGAGGGUGCGAGCGUUAAUCGGAAUUACUGGGCGUAAAGCGCGCGUAGGCGGUCUGAUAAGCCGGUUGUGAAAGCCCCGGGCUCAACCUGGGAACGGCAUCCGGAACUGUCAGGCUAGAGUGCAGGAGAGGAAGGUAGAAUUCCCGGUGUAGCGGUGAAAUGCGUAGAGAUCGGGAGGAAUACAAGUGGCGAAGGCGGCCUUCUGGACUGACACUGACGCUGAGGUGCGAAAGCGUGGGUAGCAAACAGGAUUAGAUACCCGGGUAGUC